AAUCAAGCGCGAGAAGGGCGUUUGGUGGAUGCCUUGGCAGCAAGAGGCGAUGAAGGACGUGAUACUCUGCGAUAAGCGAGGGUGAGCCGAGAAUAGGCUUUGACCCCUCGAUCUCCGAAUGGGGCAACCCACCUGACAGUUUGAUAUAAUUGCCUUAGGGCAGCUUAUAUCUUACUGAAACAGGUACUUUUAACCUGAAUACAUAGGGUUUUAAGAGCAAACCCGGGGAACUGAAACAUCUAAGUACCCGGAGGAAAGGAAAUCAACAGAUACUCCCCUAGUAGUGGCGAGCGAACGGGGACCAGCCGAGCCAUGAGAGUGACCAGAACUGUCUGGAAAGACAGGCCAUAGUGGGUGACAGCCCCGUAUGGGAAGCUCGAUUGGACGUAUUAAGUAGGGCGGGACACGUGAAAUCCUGUCUGAAGAUCGGGGGACCACCCUCGAAGGCUAAGU
RNAcentral lists this ribosomal RNA (453 nucleotides) under Planctomycetaceae bacterium. Its description in RNAcentral is "partial 23S ribosomal RNA". It matches the Rfam family "Bacterial large subunit ribosomal RNA", at positions 1 to 471 of the family's 2925-position model. The record is from RNAcentral. Lineage: Bacteria; Pseudomonadati; Planctomycetota; Planctomycetia; Planctomycetales; Planctomycetaceae.